RNAcentral lists this long non-coding RNA (5583 nucleotides) under Sus scrofa (pig). RNAcentral's name for it is "lncRNA (ENSSSCG00000062111.1)". The record is from RNAcentral. Lineage: Eukaryota; Metazoa; Chordata; Mammalia; Artiodactyla; Suidae.
AAAAAAAGGGAUGCAUUCAUUCUUUGGAAGGCCCCAGUAUAUUUGAGGCCACAGAGCCUAGAGAUCAGUAGAGACUCUGGAAUCUGAGGCCUGAGGGGGAAAUCCCAGCAUCUCAUCUUUAAGCUGAAUGAGGAGCAAAAGACUUCUGGAUGAGAAUAAAGGGAAAGAUACGGUUCUAGGAACGAAUGCAUUGAGCACCACUCCCGCCCCACCCCCCAAUGCCUGUGCCUCUUGGCCCACCGUUUUCAUGUUCGUGUGAUCUCACCAAUGAGGAUGUCCACGUGCCACAUUCUUACUGUUUAGUUAUAGUUGAUUUACGAUGUUGUGCCAAUUUCUGCGGUAAAGCCAAGUGACCCAGUGUCCUAUCUAUAUAUACAUUCCUUUUCUCAUAUUAUCAUCCCUCAUGGUCUAUCCUGAGACUGGACACAGUUCUCUGUGCUAUACAGAAGGGCCUCAUGCUUCUCCAUUCUAAAUGUAAGAGUUUACAUCUACUAACCCCAAACUCCCAGUCCAUCCUGCUCCCUCCCCCCUCCCCCUUGGCUAUCAACCCCCUUAUAGGUAGGUUCAUUUGUGCCAUUUAUAUUUAUUUAUUUAUUUUUGCUUUUUAGGGUCCAACACACAACACAUGGAGGUUCCCAGGCUAGGGGGUUGAAUCGGAGCUACAGCUGCCGGCCUACAGCACAGCCACAGCAACACCAUAUCUGAGCUAUGUCUGCAACCUAUACCACAGCUUACAGCAACACUGGAUCCUUAACCCACUGAGAGAAGCCAGGGAUCAAAGCUGCAUCCUCAUGGAUACUAGUCAGAUUCGUUUCCCCUGCACCACAAUGGGAACUCCCAUUUGUGCCAUAUUUUAGAUUCCACAUACAAAUGGUAUAUGGUAUUUGUCUUUCUCUGUCUGACUUAUUCCACUUAGUAUGAUCAUCUCUAGUUGCAUCCAUGCUGCUGCAGAUGCACAUGCUGCAUUCUAAUGACCUUCUCUUUGUCGUAGGAUUCUUUCCCCACCGUGUGUAAAACACUAGAGCAGGGCACUCAACCAAUCCCCAAAUAAAAAUCCAAGCUUUGCACUUAUCCCUGGAAAUGUGGAGAUGAGGGAAGACCAUUCAGUGUGAUUUAUAGGGGCACAUCCAAGGUGCUGGGGAGCAGCAGAGAAAGGGCACAUAAUCCAGCCCAGCAAAGCAGGAAGGGCAUCUAGAGAAAGGGAUAGCUGAGUUUUGAGGUAUGAGUAGGAGUUACAAAGGCGGGAAAAAUAUACAGUGGCAAGGAGGGGAAAGCAGCAUGGAAAAUCAGGGAGCUGUGAUGGUUCAGCACAGAGUAGGAAGUGAGGGGAGUAGGAGAGGAGGCCAGCACAGGAGACAGCCUGACCUGUAAGAGUCCCACUUGCUCUGCUAAGAGUGUUGAGCUUAUUCAGAGGGUGGUAGAGGGAACCGUUGAGUAAAGUAGACAUUCUUUGAGAUAUGAGUGUGGGUGUGUGGAGAGGUAGCACAGAGAGGAGGUUGAAAGCAUGGACUCUGGAAUCCAGACUGGCCUGUCCUCCCAUUUGAUGGCUUCGUGAUGGUGGGCAACUUCUUUAAGCCCCAAUUUCCUCUUCUUAAAGAGGGGAGAAUAGGAGUUCCCGUUGUGACUCAGUGGUAAUGAACCUGACUAGAAUCCAUGAGGACGUGAGUUCCAUCCCUGGUCCCACUCAGUGGCAUUGCUGUGAGAUGUGGUAUAGGUUGAAGACAUGGCUAUGAUCUGGCAUAGCUGUGGCUGUGGUGUAGACUGGCAGCUGCAGCUCCAAUUUGAUUCCUAGCCUGGGAACUUCCAUACGCUGCAGGUGUGGCCUUAAAAAAGCAAAAAAUAAAAAAAGAGGGGAGAACAGUCUUAUCUGCAUCAGGAAAUUUUAGGAGAUAAUACAUAUAAAGCACUUACUACAAUGACUGACACAUAGUGGUCAAUAAAUGCUAAUUAUUGUUAUAGAUUAUUUGAAUAAUCGAUAAUUAGGUUUCUUGUUUGCCUCAUUUUUUUGUAAUAAAUGAAUUACCUUUAUCACAACGAUAGAAAUUUAAAGUGUUGUUUUAUGUACCCUAAGAAAAAAUAGAAACAUUUGCUCAUGCAUUCAACAAAUAUUGAUUGGCCAUAAAGGAUGUAGCAGGCACAGUUAUAGGCUCUGGGGAAAAAGCAGAAAACAAGGCUGUCUAAGGUCCCUGCCCCCAUACAGCUCCUAUUCCAGUCAAGCAGGCUGACCUAAAUAAGUAAACAAUAGGAUUGACAACAUGUGUCAGCUCCAGGAGGCAGGGAGCUGGUCUGAGCCGGGAUGUAUCCUGAAUGUAUAAGAUAGCGCCCUCUGCCGGCACUCAGUGUUGUGUGAAUGAAAAAUCAUUUCAGGUGGUAACAGAGCCACUAGGGUGGCAACAAAACAAGGCCACGUGAUGCAGUGGGCAGGUUGGUUUCACUAGAGGUGAAAGUGACAAAGCGACUGAUGAGCUAAAACAGGAAGGUGUGAAAGGAGCUAAUCACGGACAGACUUUGAGAAGAAUAUUCCAGGCCCAAGAGUAUUUGAAGCCAAAGCCAACAGUCCUAAAGCAAGGCUGUGCAAAGAACAGAAAGAAGGCCCAAGUCAGGGGAUGCAGUGAGCAAGGGGUGCAGAGAGGAGGGACGGAGGCAGGGGCAGUAGGCAAGGUCACUCACCACAUUAUUUUCUUGCCCUGCUCAGACCCCCGCCUGCUAAGAUGUUUUGCUCCUUACCUCACAGUGUCCGUAGAAUGAUCACUUCUUGUGUGGGCUGCUGUCACUCUUGUGUGACAGAAAUCUCUUUCCAGGCUGGGGGUGUGGAGAAGGUGACUAGAUUCCCCUCCUUCUGUUGCCAGGCCUCUGUGUUGACACUUUAUCUGCUCCAUCUUUCUGGCUGUGCUGGGUUUAUUUUGUGAAACUGAUGUAAUGAUAAAGGGAACUCUUACCCUCUGGGGGAAAGAAUUCUGAGGGCAAGGGGAAGAUUCCAAGAUUUUAAAUAGGAGUUCCCAUUGUGGCUCAGCGAGUUAAGAACCCAACAUAGUGUCCGUGAGGAUGUGGGUUCGAUCCCUGGCCUCACUCAGUGGGUUAAGGAUCCAGCAUUGCCCUGAGCUGUGGUGUAGGUCGCAGACACAGCUCAGAUCCCACAUUGCUGGCAGCUGCAGCUCCAAUUUGACCCCUAGCCUGGGAACUUCCAUUUGCCAUAGGUGUGGCUGUAAAAAGAAAGUAAAGAAAUAGGUGACAAAGACGGCCUAAAUGAAGUUGUUAAGGAUCACUUUGGUGGCUGGGUAGAGAAGAAACUGUGGGACAAGGAGAAUAAGGGGAACCAAGUAGGUGACCGCUGAAGCAAGCAAGGCCCAGGAGAGGGGUGGCCUGCCCUGGGGUCUAGAUGAGGGAAGCGGGAUGACGGAACCCUCCACAGUUUGGUGGAGGUGUGUGCAGUGCACACCACACACACACACACACACACACACAGUAUAAAUGUUGUAUGUAAAACAAGAUUAUUCUUGCCUGCAGAGGGCACUUGAAUAUUCUAAAGUCCAAGGGUCAGAGCAGGUUGACUCAAGCAGAGACUCUGUUUCCCAAGGGCAUAAUUUAAGAGGCCAGGAAAGCAAAAAGAAAACAAUCUCAGCUGAAGCUACGCUCUUUGCCUACUGGAACGUAAAACCUCUUCUUUUAAAAAAUUAAAUUUUGGGGCAGAGUUCCUGUCAUUGCUCAGCGGUAACGAACCUGACUAAUACCCAUGAGGAUGCCUGUUCUCCUGGCCUCAUUCAGUGGGUUAAGGAUCCGGCAUUGCCCUGAGCUGUGGUGCAGAUCACAGAUGCAGCUUGGAUCCGGUGUUGCUCUGGCUGUGGCGUAGGCCAGCAGGUGCAGCUCCGAUUCGACCCCUAGCCUGGGAACUUCCAUAUGCCGUGGGUGCGGCCCUAAAAAGGCAAAAAUUUUUUUAAAUUUUUUGUGAUAGCUCAUACAAUAAGCCAGGAAUUUGGGCUUUCACACAUUAGUGAAAGCUAGUUAAAUGAUACAGCCAUCCUCCCAGUGAACAGAUGUGAGAGGGGGAGUCUGGCAGGCAGGAGAGGGGAGGAGGAGGCUCAUUUGCUGGGGAAUCUUUGGCCAGGUUGCCAGGUGGGGAGGGGCUCAAGUAGGGAAGCUCUGAGCCAAGCCCAAGGGCAGCAGAGAGACUGGUGCCUGGAAAGAAUGGGGGGGUUGGGGGGGGGCACCAGGGAAUUUUAAGUACUUUGGAACACAGCUUGAGCACAGUUGUGCCUGGAAAUAUCUCUGUCAUCUCCAGAAAUCACUUGCUAAGUGCUGCUUCAACCCAAUUCUGUGUCUUAUAUUGGGUAAUUCACGUUAGAAUGACAUGAUCCUGGUCCUUGAUAAAGUCCAAAGCAGUUUUACACAUAAAUAUGCUGAGAAUGAGUCAUUUUACAGAGAGGGAAAGGCAAGUAUUUAGACCACCCAAUUCGAAGGGCAUACAACCACUGCCUCUUCCAGCUCACCUCUGGUAAAUGCUAUAAAUGCUGCCGUCGGAGGUCUCAAAGCCCCCUUCUCCCCACCCUGUCCUUGGCUUUGGGCAUUGAAGACCUUGUGAAAAGACUCAUGCCAUCCAGGAGGCUCCUCCUUCUGGGCCCCCACAGGAGCCUGUGCAUGUGUUCCCUUGCAUCAUUGCCUUAUGUGACACUUGCUCACCUACCUGUGACCCCACCCAGAUCACCAGUCCUUGAGGCAGGCAUGGGUCUCACUCAUCUUUGUCAUCCAAGGGGACUGAAACCUUACUCUCCACAGCAGUAUCAUAUGUUUAUACUAAUCCCAUAAUUCUAUUUAUUCCAUAUAAACAGAUACAUAUAUUCAUCUGUUUUAGGUGGUGUUUGAGACUCUAGUUUUACCUGAUUUAUAAACUAGAUUAGCUGGAAAUAUUUGUAUGUACAGGAAGAAAGAUAAAAAUGUCCCGCUGUGGAAGGUGUAGAGACAAAACAAGCCCUUACUUCACCUAUGAAAAAAGAAGGGAAAUAUUCCAUCGGAUGCUUUGCCACACACCCAGCCAUACCCCCUCCCCCAAACCAGGAAACUGCAAAACAGACUUUGCCCCAUGUGAGCUGUCCAGCCUCCUCUUCUUUCUGUGCUUUCAGCUAGUAUGUUGCCUUUGAAAGAUGUCCGAAAUAAUUUAACACUUUUGCUAGUGUGGUCACAUGUUAAUUGAAACGGUUAGCGAGGAGUUCCUGUUGUGGCUCAGCAGGUUAAGAACCCGAGACAAUAUCCUUGAAAAUGUGGGUUCAAUCCCUGGCCUUGCUCAGUGGGAUAAGGAUGUGUCGUUGCCGCUAGCUGCAGCAUAGGUCCCAGAUGCGGUUUAGAUCUUAUGUUGUGGGAGUUCCUGUCAUGGCGCAGAGGAAACGAAUCUGACUAAGAACCAUGAGGUUGCAGGUUCGAUCCCUGGCCUUGCUCAGCGGGUUAAGGAUCUGGCAUUGCCGUGAGCUGUGGUGUAGGUCACAGACGUGGCUGGAAUCUAGCAUUGCUAUGGCUAUGGUGUAGGCUGGCAGCUACAGCUCCAAUUGGACCCCUAGCCUGGGAACCUCCAUAUGCCAAGGGUGCGGCCCU